CAAGGUUUCCGUAGGUGAACCUGCGGAAGGAUCAUUAUCGAGUUUUGACUGGGUUGUAGCUGGCCUUCCGAGGCAUGUGCACGCCCUGCUCAUCCACUCUACACCUGUGCACUUACUGUGGGUUUCAGACGGCGUAGCGAGCCUUUACGGGUUCGUGAAAGCGUCUGUGCCCGCGUUUAUUACAAACUCUUACAAGUAAAAGAAUGUGUAUUGCGAUAUAACGCAUCUAUAUACAACUUUCAGCAACGGAUCUCUUGGCUCUCGCAUCGAUGAAGAACGCAGCGAAAUGCGAUAAGUAAUGUGAAUUGCAGAAUUCAGUGAAUCAUCGAAUCUUUGAACGCACCUUGCGCUCCUUGGUAUUCCGAGGAGCAUGCCUGUUUGAGUGUCAUGAAAUCUUCAACCUAUAAACCUUUGCGGGUUUGUAGGCUUGGACUUGGAGGCUUGUCGGCCUAACGGUCGGCUCCUCUUAAAUGCAUUAGCUUGAUUCCUUGCGGAUCGGCUCUCGGUGUGAUAAUUGUCUACGCCGCGACCGUGAAGCGUUUGGCGAGCUUCUAAUCGUCUCUUAUGAGACAACACAUUGACCUCUGACCUCAAAUCAGGUAGGACUACCCGCUGAACUUAAGCAUAUCAAUAAGCGGAGGAAAAGAAACUAACAAGGAUUCCCCUAGUAACUGCGA
Molecule: ribosomal RNA, 677 nt
Filed under: Perenniporia sp. BAB-4958
Lineage: Eukaryota; Fungi; Basidiomycota; Agaricomycetes; Polyporales; Polyporaceae
Description: eukaryotic LSU rRNA
Rfam family: 5.8S ribosomal RNA (bases 235-388)
Source: RNAcentral